GUAGUUGUACCAUAGGGGUAGUGGGGCUGUUUUAGGUGCAGUUUACAUUGGUUCAAUUCCAGUCAUCUACU
This 71-nucleotide transfer RNA is filed under the name Ophiopholis mirabilis. RNAcentral describes it as "tRNA-Leu". It matches the Rfam family "tRNA". Rfam says of the family: Transfer RNA (tRNA) molecules are approximately 80 nucleotides in length. Their secondary structure includes four short double-helical elements and three loops (D, anti-codon, and T loops). Lineage: Eukaryota; Metazoa; Echinodermata; Ophiuroidea; Amphilepidida; Ophiactidae. The record is from RNAcentral.